GGGUCCUUUGGGCCCAACCUCCCAUCCGUGUCUAUUGUACCCUGUUGCUUCGGCGGGCCCGCCGCUUGUCGGCCGCCGGGGGGGCGCCUCUGCCCCCCGGGCCCGUGCCCGCCGGAGACCCCAACACGAACACUGUCUGAAAGCGUGCAGUCUGAGUUGAUUGAAUGCAAUCAGUUAAAACUUUCAACAAUGGAUCUCUUGGUUCCGGCAUCGAUGAAGAACGCAGCGAAAUGCGAUAACUAAUGUGAAUUGCAGAAUUCAGUGAAUCAUCGAGUCUUUGAACGCACAUUGCGCCCCCUGGUAUUCCGGGGGGCAUGCCUGUCCGAGCGUCAUUGCUGCCCUCAAGCCCGGCUUGUGUGUUGGGUCGCCGUCCCCCUCUCCGGGGGGACGGGCCCGAAAGGCAGCGGCGGCACCGCGUCCGAUCCUCGAGCGUAUGGGGCUUUGUCACAUGCUCUGUAGGAUUGGCCGGCGCCUGCCGACGUUUUCCAACCAUUCUUUCCAGGUUGACCUCGGAUCAGGUAGGGAUACCCGCUGAACUUAAGCAUAUCAAUAA
RNAcentral lists this ribosomal RNA (553 nucleotides) under fungal sp. AM2013. RNAcentral describes it as "eukaryotic LSU rRNA". The stretch from base 179 to 332 matches the Rfam family "5.8S ribosomal RNA". Lineage: Eukaryota; Fungi. The record is from RNAcentral.